GCAUAUCAUAAGCGGAGGAAAAGAAACCAACAGGGAUUGCCCUAGUAACGGCGAGUGAAGCGGCAACAGCUCAAAUUUGAAAUCUGGCGUCUUCGGCGUCCGAGUUGUAAUUUGCAGAGGGCGCUUUGGCAUUGGCAGCGGUCCAAGUUCCUUGGAACAGGACGUCACAGAGGGUGAGAAUCCCGUACGUGGUCGCUAGCCUUUACCGUGUAAAGCCCCUUCGACGAGUCGAGUUGUUUGGGAAUGCAGCUCUAAAUGGGAGGUAAAUUUCUUCUAAAGCUAAAUACUGGCCAGAGACCGAUAGCGCACAAGUAGAGUGAUCGAAAGAUGAAAAGCACUUUGGAAAGAGAGUUAAAAAGCACGUGAAAUUGUUGAAAGGGAAGCGCUUGCAGCCAGACUUGCCUGUAGUUGCUCAUCCGGGUUUCUACCCGGUGCACUCUUCUAUAGGCAGGCCAGCAUCAGUUUGGGCGGUUGGAUAAAGGUCUCUGUCAUGUACCUCUCUUCGGGGAGAACUUAUAGGGGAGACGACAUGCAACCAGCCUGGACUGAGGUCCGCGCAUCUGCUAGGAUGCUGGCGUAAUGGCUGUAAGCGGCCCGUCUUGAAACACGGACCAAGGAGUCUAACAUCUAUGCGAGUGUUUGGGUGUCAAGCCCGAGCGCGUAAUGAAAGUGAACGGAGGUGGGAACCUUUCGGGGUGCACCAUCGACCGAUCCUGAUGUCUUCGGAUGGAUUUGAGUAAGAGCAUAGCUGUUGGGACCCGAAAGAUGGUGAACUAUGCUUGAAUAGGGUGAAGCCAGAGGAAACUCUGGUGGAGGCUCGCAGCGGUUCUGACGUGCAAAUCGAUCGUCAAAUUUGGGCAUAGGGGCGAAAGACUAAUCGAACUAUCUAGUAGCUGGUUCCUGCCGAAG
Molecule: ribosomal RNA, 909 nt
Filed under: Didymella pomorum
Lineage: Eukaryota; Fungi; Ascomycota; Dothideomycetes; Pleosporales; Didymellaceae
Description: LSU rRNA
Rfam family: Eukaryotic large subunit ribosomal RNA
Source: RNAcentral